GACGAACGCUGGCGGCGUGCUUAACACAUGCAAGUCGAACGCAGUGGCGAACGGGUGAGUAACGCGUAAUCAACCUGCCCUUCAGCGGGGGACAACAGUUGGAAACGACUGCUAAUACCGCAUACUGUAGGAGGAGCUUGCGUCGGAAUAGCGAGUUGGAGGGGUAACGGCCCACCAAGGCGAUGAUCAGUAGCCGGUCUGAGAGGAUGAACGGCCACAUUGGGACUGGAACACGGCCCAGACUCCUACGGGAGGCAGCAGUGGGGAAUCUUCCGCAAUGGACGAAAGGCUGACGGAGCAACGCCGCGUGAGUGAUGACGGCCUUCGGGUUGUAAAGCUCUGUUAGUCGGGACACGGUACCGGAAUAGAAAGCCACGGCUAACUACGUGCCAGCCGCCGCGGUAAUUC
RNAcentral lists this ribosomal RNA (408 nucleotides) under uncultured bacterium. RNAcentral's name for it is "partial 16S ribosomal RNA". It matches the Rfam family "Bacterial small subunit ribosomal RNA", at positions 28 to 526 of the family's 1533-position model. The record is from RNAcentral.